CGCGCGGCGUCCCUAGCAACGCGCGCGCGGUCUUCCGGCCCCGCCCAGGCGGGCGGCAUUGCGCCUAAGCUGGGCCACAACCGCCAGUCAGGGCUCUCCCCUUCCCUCCCUCCCCCGCCCCUCCUCCUCCUCUGCCGCCCAGAGCGAGACACCAACAUGGAGCCCGAGGAUCUGCCAUGGCCGGGCGAGCUGGAGGAGGAGGAGGAGGAGGAGGAGGAGGAGGAGGAGGAGGAGGCUGCAGCGGCGGCGGCGGCGAACGUGGACGACGUAGUGGUCGUGGAGGAGGUGGAGGAAGAGGCGGGGCGGGAGUUGGACUGCGACUCUCACUACGGGCCCCAGCAUCUGGAAAGUAUAGACGACGAGGAGGACGAGGAGGCCAAGGCCUGGCUGCAGGCGCACCCCGGCAGGAUUUUGCCUCCGCCGUCGCCCCCGCAGCACCGCUACUCGGAGGGCGAGCAGACCUCCCUGGAGAAGAAAACAGAAUCUUGGCAUUGUCUUCCUCAAGAAAUGGACUCUUCCCAAACCUUGGAUACAUCCCAGACCAGGUUUAAUUUGAGAACGGAAGAUACUGAAGUGACAGACUUCCCCUCUCUGGAGGAGGGUAUAUUGACGCAAUCAGAAAAUCAAGUAAAGGAACCCAACAGAGAUCUCUUCUGUUCUCCACUGCUAGUCAUACAAGAUAGCUUUGCUUCUCCUGAUUUGCCUUUGCUGACCUGUUUGACACAAGACCAAGAAUUUGCGCCUGAUUCUUUAUUUCAUCAAAGUGAACUAAGUUUUGCAUCUCUGAGGGGAAUUCCUGAUAAGUCUGAAGAUACUGAAUGGUCUUCUCGACCAUCGGAAGUUAGUGAAGCUUUAUUCCAGGCUACUGCAGAAGUAGCCUCAGACUUAGCAAGCAGUCGCUUUAGUGUAUCUCAGCACCCGCUUAUAGGCAGCACAGCUGUUGGGUCUCAGUGCCCUUUUUUACCUUCUGAACAAGGGAAUAAUGAAGAGACUAUUUCGUCUGUUGAUGAGCUGAAAAUUCCCAAAGACUGUGAUCGUUAUGAUGAUCUUUGUUCAUAUAUGUCAUGGAAGACACGAAAAGAUACACAGUGGCCUGAAAACAAUUUAGCUGAUAAAGAUCAAGUUUCAGUUGCAACUUCAUCUGACAUAACCGAUGAAAACAUAGCUACUAAAAGAAGUGACCAUUUUGAUGCUGCUUGUUCAUAUGGGCAGUAUUGGACACAGGAAGAUUCAUCUAAGCAGGCAGAAACAUAUUUAACCAAGGGCCUGCAGGGGAAGGCUGAGUCUGACGUCAUUACUCUGGAUGGCCUAAAUGAAAAUGCUGUUGUAUGCAGUGAAAGAGUUGCUGAACUACAAAGAAAGGUGCGUCAUUCUAAUCUGGGCAUUAAUGAGUCUUUUUCAUUUUUAUUGCCUUCAUUUGUUCCACAUAAGCCAACAAGAGAGUCGGAAUAUCACUCUUCAGAUCUCAGAAUGUUGAGGAUGUCUCCUGACACUGUGCCAAAGGCUCCUAAACAUUUAAAAGCAGGAGACACUUCUAAAGGAGGCAUAGCUAAGGUUACUCAAUCCAACUUGAAGUCAGGCAUCACUACCACUCCUGUUGAUUCAGACAUUGGAUCUCAUUUAUCCUUGUCCCUUGAGGACCUGUCUCAGUUGGCUGUAAGUUCUCUUCUAGAAACUACUACUGGUCAACACACUGCUGAUACUCUCAACCAAAAGACAUUAGCAGAUACUCAUCUAACUGAAGAGACUCUGAAAGUCACAGCUAUUCCUGAACCAGCUGACCAGAAGACUGCAACACCAACAGUACUCUCUAGUUCCCACUCACAUAGGGGGAAGCCCAGCAUUUUCUACCAGCAGGGCUUGCCAGACAGUCAUCUAACUGAAGAGGCUUUGAAAGUUUCAGCUGCUCCUGGACUAGCUGAUCAGACAACUGGCAUGUCAACUCUAACCUCUACUUCCUACUCACAUAGAGAGAAGCCUGGUACUUUUUACCAACAAGAGUUACCAGAGAGUAACUUAACUGAAGAGCCUUUGGAAGUUUCAGCUGCUCCUGGCCCAGUGGAGCAGAAGACGGGAAUACCUACAGUAUCCUCUACAUCCCACUCACAUGGAGAGGACCUCCUCUUUUUCUAUCGACAGACCUUGCCAGAUGGUCAUCUAACUGAUCAGGCUCUGAAAGUUUCAGCUGUGUCUGGACCAGCCGACCAGAAGACUGGGACAGCAACAGUACUCUCUACUCCCCACUCACAUAGAGAGAAGCCUGGUAUUUUUUACCAACAAGAGUUCGCAGACAGUCAUCAAACUGAAGAGACUCUUACUAAAGUUUCAGCCACUCCUGGACCAGCUGACCAGAAGACUGAGAUACCAGCAGUACAGUCUAGUUCUUACUCACAAAGAGAAAAGCCUAGUAUUUUGUACCCACAGGAGUUAGCAGACAGUCAUCUACCUGAAGAAGGUCUGAAAGUUUCAGCUAUUGCUGGACCAGCUGACCAGAAGACUGGCCUACCAACAGUACCCUCUAGUGCAUACUCACACAGAGAGAAGCUCCUUGUUUUCUACCAACAGGCCUUGCUGGACAGCCAUCUACCCGAAGAGGCUCUGAAAGUUUCAGCUGUUUCUGGACCAGCUGACAGAAAGACUGGGACACCAACUGUAACCUCUACUUCCUCUGCAUCCUCUUCACUUGGAGAAAAGCCCAGUGCUUUCUAUCAGCAGACCUUACCCAAUAGUCAUCUAACUGAAGAGGCUCUGAAAGUAUCAGUUGUUCCUGGACCAGGUGAUCAGAAGACUGGGAUACCCUCAGCACCAUCUAGUUUCUACUCACACAGAGAGAAGCCCAUUAUUUUUUCCCAGCAGACCCUGCCAGACUUUCUUUUCCCUGAAGAAGCUCUGAAGGUUUCAGCUGUUUCUGUAUUGGCUGCCCAGAAGACUGGGACACCAACAGUGUCCUCUAAUUCUCACUCACAUAGCGAGAAAUCUAGUGUUUACUACCAGCAAGAGUUGCCAGACAGUGAUCUACCUAGAGAAUCUCUGAAAAUGUCUGCUAUUCCUGGACUGACUGACCAGAAGACUGUCCCAACACCAACAAUACCUUCAGGUUCCUUCUCACAUAGAGAGAAGCCCAGUAUUUUCUAUCAACAGGAGUUGCCAGAUAGUUAUGCAACUGAAAAGGCUCUGAAAGUUUCAACUGGCCCUGGACCAGCUGACCAGAAGACUGAGAUACCAGCAGUACAGUCUAGUUCUUACCCACAGAGGGAGGAGAAGCCUAGUGUUUUGUACCCACAGGUGUUAUCAGACAGUCAUCUACCUGAAGAGAGUCUGAAAGUUUCAGCCUUCCCUGGACCAGCUGACCAGAUGACUGACACACCAGCAGUACCGUCUACUUUCUACUCACAAAGAGAGAAGCCUGGUAUUUUCUACCAACAGACCUUGCCAGAGAGUCAUCUGCCUAAAGAGGCUCUGAAAAUUUCAGUAGCUCCUGGACUAGCAGACCAGAAGACUGGCACACCAACUGUAACCUCAACCUCCUACUCACAACAUAGAGAAAAGCCCAGCAUUUUCCACCAGCAGGCCUUGCCAGGUACUCAUAUACGUGAAGAGGCUCAGAAAGUUUCAGCUGUUACUGGACCAGGUAACCAGAAGACUUGGAUACCAAGAGUACUUUCUACCUUCUACUCACAAAGAGAGAAACCUGGUAUUUUCUAUCAACAGACGUUGCCAGGUAGUCACAUACCUGAAGAGGCACAGAAAGUUUCACCUGUUCUUGGACCAGCUGACCAGAAGACUGGGACACCAACUUCAACCUCUGCUUCUUACUCACACACAGAGAAGCCUGGUAUUUUCUACCAACAGGUCUUGCCAGAUAAUCAUCCAACUGAAGAGGCUCUGAAAAUUUCAGUUGCCUCUGAACCAGUUGACCAGACAACUGGCACACCAGCUGUAACCUCUACUUCCUACUCACAAUAUAGAGAGAAGCCCAGCAUUUUCUACCAACAGUCGUUGCCAAGUAGUCAUCUAACUGAAGAGGCUAAGAAUGUUUCAGCGGUUCCUGGACCAGCUGACCAGAAGACUGUGAUACCAAUUUUACCCUCUACUUUCUACUCACACACAGAGAAGUCUGGUGUUUUCUACCAACAGGUCUUGCCACAUAGUCAUCCAACUGAAGAGGCUCUGAAAAUUUCAGUUGCCCCUGAACCAGUUGACCAGACAACUGGCACACCAACUGUAACCUCUACUUCCUACUCACAACAUAGAGAGAAGCCGAGUAUUUUCUACCAACAGUCGUUGCCAGGUAGUCAUCUAACUGAAGAGGCUAAGAACGUUUCAGCGGUUCCUGGACCAGCUGACCAGAAGACUGGGAUACCAACUUUACCCUCUACUUUCUACUCACACACAGAGAAGCCUGGUAGUUUCUACCAACAGGUCUUGCCACAUAGUCAUCUACCUGAAGAGGCUUUGGAAGUUUCAGUUGCUCCUGGACCAGUUGACCAGACGAUUGGCACACCAACUGUAACCUCUCCUUCCAGCUCAUUUGGAGAGAAGCCCAUUGUUAUCUACAAACAGGCCUUUCCAGAUGGUCAUCUACCUGAAGAGUCUCUGAAAGUUUCAGUUGCUCCUGGACCAGUUGGCCAGACAACUGGCGCACCAACUAUAACCUCUCCUUCCUACUCACAACAUAGAGCAAAGUCUGGCAGUUUCUACCAACUGGCAUUGCUAGGUAGUCAAAUACCUGAAGAGGCUCUCAGAGUUUCUUCUGCUCCUGGACCAGCUGACCAGACAACUGGCAUACCAACCAUAACCUCUACUUCCUACUCAUUUGGAGAGAAGCCGAUUGUUAACUACAAACAGGCCUUUCCAGAUGGUCAUCUACCUGAAGAGGCUCUGAAAGUUUCCAUUGUUUCUGGACCUACUGAAAAAAAGACUGACAUACCAGCAGGACCUUUAGGUUCCAGUGCACUUGGAGAGGAGCCCAUUACUUUCUACCGGCAGGCUCUGCUAGACAGUCCUCUAAAUAAAGAGGUUGUGAAAGUUUCAGCUGCUCCUGGACCAGCUGACCAGAAAACUGAGACAUUACUGGUACAUUCUACUACCUACUCAAAUAGGGGGAAGCCUGUCAUUUUCUACCAACAGACCCUAUCAGAUAGUCAUUUACCUGAAGAAGCUCUGAAAGUUCCACCUGUUCCUGGACCAGAUGCCCAGAAGACUGAGACACCAUCAGUAUCCUCUAGUUUAUACUCAUAUAGAGAGAAGCCCAUUGUCUUCUACCAACAGGCCCUGCCAGACAGUCAGCUAACUCAAGAAGCUCUGAAAGUUUCAGCUGUUCCUCAACCAGCUGACCAGAAGACUGGGUUAUCUACUGUAACUUCCUCUUUCUAUUCACUUACAGAGAAGCCUAAUAUUCCUUACCAGCAAGAGUUGCCAGAUAGUCAUCUAACUGAAAAGGCUCUGAAAGUUUCAUAUGUUCCUGGACCAGCUGACCAGAAGACUGGGGUAUCGACAGUAACCUCUACUUCCUACUCACACAGAGAGAAGCCCAUUAUUUCCUACCAGCGAGAGUUGCCGCAUUUUACUGAAGCAGGUUUGAAAAUUUUAAGAGUUCCUGGACCAGCUGACCGGAAGACUGGAAUAAACAUCCUGCUCUCUAAUUCCUACCCACAGAGAGAGCACUCUGUCAUUUCUUAUGAGCAGGAGUUGCCAGAUCUUACUGAAGUAACUUUGAAAGCAGUAGGGGUUCCUGGGCCUGCUGACCGGAAGACUGGGAUACAAAUAGCAUCCUCUAGUUCCUACUCAAAUAGAGAGAAGGCCAGUAUUUUUCAUCAGCAGGAGUUGCCAGAUGUUACUGAAGAAGCUUUAAGUGUUUUUGUUGUUCCUGGACAAGGUGACCGGAAGACUGAGAUACCAACAGUACCUUUAAGUUACUACUCACGUAGAGAGAAGCCCAGUGUUAUCUCUCAACAGGUGUUGCCAGACAGUCAUCUCACAGAAGAGGCUCUGAAAGUUUCACCUGUUUCUAUACCAGUAGAGCAGAAGACUGGGAUACCAAUAGGACUGUCUAGUUCCUACUCACAUUCGCAUAAAGAGAAACUCAAGAUUUCAACUGUGCAUAUACCAGAUGACCAGAAAACUCAGUUUCCAGCAGCUACCCUUAGUUCCUACUCACAAAUAGAGAAGCCCAAGAUUUCAACUGUGAUUGGACCAAAUGACCAGAAGACUCCAUCCCAGACAGCUUUUCAUAGUUCCUAUUCUCAAACAGUAAAGCCCAAUAUUUUAUUUCAACAGCAGUUGCCAGAUAGAGAUCAAAGUAAAGGUAUUCUAAAGAUUUCAGCUGUCCCUGAACUAACUGAUGUGAAUACUGGAAAACCAGUAUCUCUCUCUAGUUCUUAUUUUCACAGAGAGAAAUCGAAUAUUUUCAGUCCACAGGAAUUGCCAGGUAGACAUGUAACUGAAGAUGUGCUGAAGGUUUCAACAAUUCCUGGACCAGCUGGCCAGAAAACAGUAUUACCAACAGCUCUUCCUAGUUCCUUUUCACAUCGAGAGAAACCAGAUAUUUUCUAUCAAAAGGAUUUGCCAGAUAGACAUCUAACUGAAGAUGCUCUAAAGAUCUCAAGUGCUCUUGGGCAAGCUGAUCAAAUUACUGGAUUACAAACAGUUCCCUCUGGUACUUACUCACAUGGUGAGAAUCACAAGCUUGUUUCAGAACAUGUCCAAAGGCUAAUAGAUAGUUUGAAUUCUUCUGACUCCAGUGUUAGCUCAAAUAAUGUGCUUUUAAAUUCUCAGGCUGAUGACAGAGUUGUAAUAAAUAAACCAGAAUCUGCAGGUUUUAGAGAUGUUGGCUCUGAAGAAAUCCAGGAUGCAGAAAAUAGUUCUAAAACUCUUAAGGAAAUUCGGACACUUUUGAUGGAGGCAGAAAAUAUGGCACUGAAACGAUGCAAUUUUCCUGCUCCCCUUGCCCCUUUCAGAGAUAUUAGUGAUGUUUCAUUUAUACAGUCUAAGAAGGUGGUUUGCUUCAAAGAACCCUCUUCCACGGGUGUAUCUAAUGGUGAUUUGUUUCAGAGACAGCCAUUCACAGAGGAAAGCCCAAGCAGCAGGUGCAUACAGAAGGAUAUUGGCACACAGACGAAUUUGAAAUGCCGGAGAGGCAUUGAAAAUUGGGAGUUUAUUAGUUCAACUACAGUUAGAAGUCCUCUACAGGAAGCAGAGAGCAAAGUCAGUAUGGCAUUAGAAGAAACUCUUAGGCAAUAUCAAGCAGCCAAAUCUGUAACGAGGUCUGAACCUGAAGGGUGUAGUGGAACCAUUGGGAAUAAAAUUAUUAUCCCUAUGAUGACUGUCAUAAAAAGUGAUUCAAGUAGUGAUGCCAGUGAUGGAAAUGGUUCCUGCUCGUGGGACAGUAAUUUACCAGAGUCUUUGGAAUCAGUUUCUGAUGUUCUUCUAAACUUCUUUCCAUAUGUUUCACCCAAGACAAGUAUAACAGAUAGCAGAGAGGAAGAGGGUGUGUCAGAGAGUGAGGAUGGUGGUGGUAGCAGUGUAGAUUCACUGGCUGCACAUGUGAAAAACCUUUUGCAAUGUGAAUCCUCACUGAAUCAUGCUAAAGAAAUACUCAGAAAUGCAGAGGAAGAGGAAAGCCGGGUACGAGCACAUGCCUGGAAUCUGAAGUUCAAUUUAGCACAUGAUUGUGGAUACUCCAUUUCAGAAUUAAAUGAAGAUGACAGGAGGAAAGUAGAAGAGAUCAAGGCAGAGUUAUUUGGUCAUGGAAGAACAACUGACUUGUCCAAGGGUUUACAGAGUCCACGGGGAAUGGGAUGCAAGCCAGAAGCUGUAUGUAGUCACAUUAUUAUUGAGAGCCAUGAAAAGGGAUGUUUCCGGACUCUAACUUCUGAAUAUCCACAACUAGAUAGCCACCCUUGUGCUUUCAGAUCUGCUGAACCCUCAGAAAUGACCAGAGGACGGCAGAACCCAUCAUCAUGCAGAGCCAAGCACGUCAACCUUUCUGCAUCCUUAGACCAGAACAACUCCCAUUUCAAAGUUUGGAAUUCCUUGCAGUUAAAAAGUCAUUCCCCAUUUCAGAACUUUAUACCUGAUGAAUUCAAAAUCAGCAAAGGUCUUCAAAUGCCAUUCCAUGAAAAGAUGGACCCUUGGCUGUCAGAAUUAGUAGAACCUGCUUUUGUGCCACCUAAAGAAGUGGAUUUUCAUUCUUCAUCACAAAUGCCAUCCCCAGAACCCAUGAAAAAGUUUACUACCUCCAUCACUUUUUCAUCUCACCGACAUUCUAAAUGCAUUUCCAAUUCCUCUGUUGUUAAGGUUGGUGUUACUGAAGGUAGCCAGUGUACUGGAGCAUCUGUGGGGGUAUUUAAUUCUCAUUUCACUGAAGAACAAAAUCCUCCUAGAGAUCUUAAACAGAAAACCUCUUCCCCUUCAUCAUUUAAAAUGCAUAGUAAUUCACAAGAUAAAGAAGUGACUAUUUUAGCAGAAGGUAGAAGGCAAAGCCAAAAAUUACCUGUUGAUUUUGAGCAUUCUUUUCAAGAAGAAAAACCCUUAGAAAGAUCAGAUUUUACAGGCAGUCAUUCUGAGCCCAGUACCAGUGCAAAUUGUAGCAAUUUCAAGGAAAUUCAGAUUUCUGAUAACCAUACCCUUAUUAGCAUGGGCAGACCAAGUUCCACCCUAGGAGUAAGCAGAUCGAGUUCCAGACUAGGAGUAAAAGAGAAGAAUGUAACUAUAACUCCAGAUCUUCCUUCUUGCAUUUUUCUUGAACAACGAGAGCUCUUUGAACAAAGCAAAGCCCCACGUGCAGAGGACCAUGUGAGGAAACACCAUUCUCCCUCUCCUCAACAUCAGGAUUAUGUAGCUCCAGACCUUCCUUCUUGCAUUUUUCUUGAACAACGAGAACUCUUUGAACAGUGCAAAGCCCCAUAUGUAGAUCAUCAAAUGAGAGAAAACCAUUCUCCCCUUCCUCAAGGUCAGGAUUCUAUAUCUUCAGACCUUCCUUCUCCCAUUUCUCUUGAACAAUGCCAAAGCAAAGCGCCAGGUGUAGAUGACCAAAUGAAUAAACACCAUUUUCCCCUUCCUCAAGGUCAGGAUUGUGUAGUGGAAAAGAAUAAUCAACAUAAGCCUAAAUCACACAUUUCUAAUAUAAAUGUUGAAGCCAAGUUCAAUACUGUGGUCUCCCAGUCAGCCCCAAAUCACUGUACAUUAGCAGCAUCUGCAUCUACUCCUCCUUCAAAUAGAAAAGCACUUUCUUGUGUUCGUAUAACUCUUUGUCCCAAGACUUCUUCCAAGUUGGAUAGUGGAACUUUAGAUGAAAGAUUCCAUUCAUUGGAUGCUGCUUCUAAAGCGAGGAUGAAUAGUGAGUUUAACUUUGACUUACAUACUGUAUCUUCGAGAUCACUGGAACCAACCUCCAAAUUAUUGACCAGUAAACCUGUAGCACAGGAUCAAGAAUCUUUAGGUUUUCUAGGACCUAAAUCUUCACUGGAUUUCCAAGUCGUACAGCCUUCUCUUCCAGACAGUAACACUAUUACUCAGGACUUGAAAACCAUACCUUCUCAGAAUAGCCAGAUAGUAACCUCCAGGCAAAUACAAGUGAACAUUUCAGAUUUCGAAGGACAUUCCAAUCCAGAGGGGACCCCAGUAUCUGCAGAUCGAUUACCAGAGAAGAUGAAGACUCCACUUUCUGCUUUCUCUGAAAAAUUGUCAUCUGAUGCAGUCACUCAGAUAACAACAGAAAGUCCAGAAAAGACCCUAUUUUCAUCUGAGAUUUUUAUUAAUGCUGAAGAUCGUGGACAUGAAAUUAUAGAGCCUGGUAACCAGAAGCUACGCAAAGCUCCUGUCAAGUUUGUCUCAUCAUCUUCAGUCCAACAGGUUACUUUUUCUCGUGGCACAGAUGGCCAGCCUUUAUUAUUGCCAUAUAAGCCUUCUGGUAGUACCAAGAUGUAUUAUGUUCCACAAUUAAGACAACUUCCUCCAUCUCCGGAUUCCAAAUCAGAUACCACCGUUGAAAGCUCCCAUUCAGGAUCCAAUGAUGCCAUUGCUCCAGACUUCCCAGCUCAGGUGCUAGGCACAAGAGAUGAUGACCUCUCAGCCACUGUUAACAUUAAACAUAAAGAAGGAAUCUACAGUAAGAGGGUAGUGACUAAGGCAUCCUUGCCAGUGGGAGAAAAACCCUUGCAGAAUGAAAAUGCAGAUGCCUCAGUUCAAGUGCUAAUCACUGGGGAUGAGAACCUCUCAGACAAAAAACAGCAAGAGAUCCACAGUACAAGGGCAGUGACUGAGGCUGCCCAGGCUAAAGAAAAAGAAUCUUUGCAGAAAGAUACUGCAGAUUCCAGUGCUGCUGCUGCUGCAGAGCACUCAGCUCGAGUAGGAGACCCAGAAAUGAAGAACUUGCCAGACACUAAAGCCAUUACACAGAAAGAGGAGAUCCAUAGGAAGAAGACAGUUCCCGAGGAAGCCUGGCCAAACAAUAAAGAAUCCCUACAGAUCAAUAUUGAAGAGUCCGAAUGUCAUUCAGAAUUUGAAAAUACUACCCGUUCUGUCUUCAGGUCAGCAAAGUUUUACAUUCAUCAUCCCGUACACCUACCAAGUGAUCAAGAUAUUUGCCAUGAAUCUUUGGGAAAGAGUGUUUUCAUGAGACAUUCUUGGAAAGAUUUCUUUCAGCAUCAUCCAGACAAACAUAGAGAACACAUGUGUCUUCCUCUUCCUUAUCAAAACAUGGACAAGACUAAGACAGAUUAUACCAGAAUAAAGAGCCUCAGCAUCAAUGUGAAUUUGGGAAACAAAGAAGUGAUGGAUACUACUAAAAGUCAAGCUAGAGAUUAUCCAGAACAUAAUGGACAAAUUAGUGAUCCAAAAAGGGAUCAGAAGGUCACCCCAGAGCAAACAACUCAGCACACUGUGAGUUUGAAUGAACUGUGGAACAAGUAUCGGGAGCGACAGAGGCAACAGAGACAGCCCGAGUUGGGUGACAGGAAAGAACUGUCCUUGGUGGACCGACUUGAUCGUUUGGCUAAAAUUCUUCAGAAUCCAAUCACACAUUCUCUCCAGGUCUCAGAAAGUACACAUGAUGAUAGCAGAGGGGAACGAAGUGUGAAGGAAUGGAGUGGUAGACAACAGCAGAGAAAUAAGCUUCAGAAAAAGAAGCGGUUUAAAAGCCUAGAGAAAAGCCAUAAAAAUACAGGCGAGCUUAAAAAAAGCAAGGUGCUUUCUCAUCAUCGAGCUGGGAGGUCUAAUCAAAUUAAAAUUGAACAGAUUAAAUUUGAUAAAUAUAUUCUGAGUAAACAGCCAGGUUUUAAUUAUAUAAGCAACACUUCUUCGGAUUGUCGGCCCUCAGAGGAGAGUGAGCUGCUCACAGAUACUACCACCAACAUCCUUUCCAGCACCACUUCUACUGUCGAAUCAGAUAUAUUGACCCAAACAGAUAGAGAGGUGGCUCUGCACGAAAGGAGUAGCUCUGUUUCCACUAUUGACACUGCCCGGCUGAUUCAAGCUUUUGGCCAUGAAAGAGUAUGCUUGUCACCCAGACGAAUUAAAUUAUAUAGCAGCAUCACCAACCAACAGAGGAGAUACCUUGAGAAGCGGAGCAAACACAGCAAGAAAGUGUUGAAUACAGGUCAUCCCCUAGUGACUUCUGAGCACACCAGAAGGAGACACAUCCAGGUAGCAAACCAUGUGAUUUCUUCUGACUCUAUUUCCUCUUCUGCCAGUAGUUUCCUGAGCUCGAACCCUACUUUUUGCAACAAGCAGAAUGUACACAUGUUAAACAAGGGCAUACAAGCAGGUAACUUGGAGAUUGUGAACGGUGCCAAAAAACACACUCGAGAUGUUGGGAUGACUUUCCCAACUCCAAGUUCCAGCGAGGCUAAAUUGGAAGAGGACAGUGAUGUGACUUCUUGGUCAGAAGAAAAACGUGAAGAGAAAAUGCUCUUUACCGGUUAUCCUGAGGACAGAAAGUUAAAAAAGAACAAGAAGAAUUCCCAUGAAGGAGUUUCCUGGUUUGUUCCUGUGGAAAAUGUGGAGUCUAGAUCAAAGAAGGAAAACGUGCCUAACACUUGUGGCCCUGGCAUCUCCUGGUUUGAACCAAUAACCAAGACCAGACCCUGGAGGGAGCCACUGCGGGAGCAGAACUGUCAGGGGCAGCACCUGGACGGUCGGGGCUCCCUGGCAGGCCCAGGCAGAGAGGCUGGCAGAGACCUACUGAAGCCAUUUGUGAGAGCAACCCUUCAGGAAUCGCUUCAGUUUCACAGACCUGACUUCAUCUCCCGCUCUGGGGAGCGGAUAAAGCGCCUGAAGUUAAUAGUCCAGGAGAGGAAGCUGCAGAGCAUGUUACAGACGGAGCGGGAUGCACUAUUCAACAUUGACAGGGAACGGCAGGGCCACCAGAAUCGCAUGUGCCCGCUGCCCAAGAGAGUCUUCCUGGCUAUCCAGAAGAACAAGCCUAUCAGCAAGAAGGAAAUGAUUCAGAGGUCCAAACGGAUUUAUGAGCAGCUUCCAGAAGUACAGAAAAAGAGAGAAGAAGAGAAGAGAAAAUCAGAAUAUAAGUCAUACCGGCUGCGAGCCCAGCUAUAUAAAAAGAGAGUGACCAAUCAACUUCUGGGGAGAAAAGUUCCCUGGGACUGACACAAGUUUAUUUUCCUCAGAGCCUUGGAAUUCUAUUUUAUGAACCUAGAGAAGCAGAAUCCUUACUUUUCUAAGGCCCAAAGUAAUGGAGGAAGGUUUUCAACAGCCUCACUCUAAGUUCAGCAAACCCCAGUACAAAGAUUGGCAAGGGCCAGUCAUCCACCGAGAAGGCUUCCUGGGAGGCUGGAUCCAAGAGCAGGCCCUGCCCUCAAGCACAGUUCAGAGCUUUCAGAUCCUGCCCCCUGGGCUCCCUGCCAUGAAGAGGACACUGGGAAAAGAACCCAUGGUGCAUGAGGUCAACUCAUAGUUCUUCCCUUUCUUGCUGGGCAAGAUGACUGGGGCCUCCAGUCUGCAUGUAAUCUCCAUUUGAUUUCCAAGGCAGAGAAUACCCCCUGGCUAACUUUGGAAAUGAAGGCAGCUCCAUUGUCACUCUGGAUCAAUCAAGUGCUGGUGGCUUUACUUUGGAUACUCUGAUUGUUGCGGAGAUGAGACCCAAGGCUCCACUCUGGAGAAAAUAGAGCCCUCUUGAGAGGUCAGCCAAACUUGCUAGACUUCUUAUGCGGUUUGGGGUUCAACGUUCUGGCCUGUCCCCCGAAAGUCAUGGCCAAAUUCACAUAUUCCUUUGAUGCCUGAUGCCGUCUCAUCACAGUGUUCGUCUGGCCUCACCAUUGCUCCACUAAGUCCAGGAACCUCAAGGAACUAUGAGACAGAUAAAGGAAGCUUUUCAAGAUCCACCAAUUGAGGAUAAUCAAACCUUCCACAGUCUACAACCUGGAGAUUGUGUCUUCUGGAAAUGACAUCAGAGGAAGGCUGCUCUUGACAACUCUUUGGAAGGGACUGUGCCGAGUUCUUCUCAACACCUACACUGCAGUGAAGCUUCAGGGCCUUGAAACUUGGGUCCACACCUCACAACUCAGAAGAACCUCUUCAGACUCCUGGAACUGUACAUCUGCUAGAGACUUUAAGGUAAAGCUGUCUAAGGAAAAAUCUCCAGAGCAGAUGACAUUCUAGUUGUGGACAGCUUUCCCAAGAUCACAGAUGAAGACUUCUGUAUCAUCAUGAAAGCCUUACAUUUUUUUCUUUUCUCCUCAUUUCCUGUUGCCCUAAUUCUUUCUUUUUCCCUACAGAAAAAUCCAUGGGACCAUAACCAGUGGAUGCCUUUAGCUUGAGCGUAUGCUGUAGCACAGAACCAGAGUUUGUGGGUUAUUGGGUUUGUUGUUUAUUGCC
Molecule: RNA transcript, 13833 nt
Organism: Pan troglodytes (chimpanzee)
Lineage: Eukaryota; Metazoa; Chordata; Mammalia; Primates; Hominidae
Gene: ALMS1
Gene name: ALMS1 centrosome and basal body associated protein
Exons: 26
Source: RefSeq, a predicted model, not a curated record